GGGCACCUACGGGGGCCUAAACCCAAGCCGGGGCAACCCGGCAGACAUAGCAAAACGGAAGACAGCAA
This 68-nucleotide non-coding RNA is filed under the name unclassified sequences. Its description in RNAcentral is "L2-Alphaproteobacteria ribosomal protein leader". It matches the Rfam family "L2-Alphaproteobacteria ribosomal protein leader". The record is from RNAcentral. RNAcentral also lists the same sequence under 1 other name.